GAUGAACGCUGGCGGCGUGCCUAAUACAUGCAAGUCGAACGCACAGCGAAAGGUGCUUGCACCUUUCAAGUGAGUGGCGAACGGGUGAGUAACACGUGGACAACCUGCCUCAAGGCUGGGGAUAACAUUUGGAAACAGAUGCUAAUACCGAAUAAAACUCAGUGUCGCAUGACACAAAGUUAGAAGGCGCUUUGGCGUCACCUAGAGAUGGAUCCGCGGUGCAUUAGUUAGUUGGUGGGGUAAAGGCCUACCAAGACAAUGAUGCAUAGCCGAGUUGAGAGACUGAUCGGCCACAUUGGGACUGAGACACGGCCCAAACUCCUACGGGAGGCGGCAGUAGGGAAUCUUCCACAAUGGGCGAAAGCCUGAUGGAGCAACGCCGCGUGUGUGAUGAAGGCUUUCGGGUCGUAAAGCACUGUUGUAUGGGAAGAACAGCUAGAAUAGGGAAUGAUUUUAGUUUGACGGUACCAUACCAGAAAGGGACGGCUAAAUACGUGCCAGCAGCCGCAGUAA
RNAcentral lists this ribosomal RNA (513 nucleotides) under uncultured bacterium. RNAcentral's name for it is "partial 16S ribosomal RNA". It matches the Rfam family "Bacterial small subunit ribosomal RNA", at positions 28 to 523 of the family's 1533-position model. The record is from RNAcentral.